AAUUAACGUUACGGGAAACGGAGCUAAUACCGGAUAAUAUUUCGAACCGCAUGGUUCGAUAGUGAAAGAUGGUUUUGCUAUCACUUAUAGAUGGACCCGCGCCGUAUUAGCUAGUUGGUAAGGUAACGGCUUACCAAGGCGACGAUACGUAGCCGACCUGAGAGGGUGAUCGGCCACACUGGAACUGAGACACGGUCCAGACUCCUACGGGAGGCAGCAGGC
RNAcentral lists this ribosomal RNA (222 nucleotides) under uncultured Staphylococcus sp. RNAcentral describes it as "partial 16S ribosomal RNA". It matches the Rfam family "Bacterial small subunit ribosomal RNA", at positions 142 to 354 of the family's 1533-position model. The record is from RNAcentral. Lineage: Bacteria; Bacillati; Bacillota; Bacilli; Caryophanales; Staphylococcaceae.